Salvia miltiorrhiza (redroot sage) is the source of this 1158-nucleotide long non-coding RNA. RefSeq lists it as uncharacterized. Lineage: Eukaryota; Viridiplantae; Streptophyta; Magnoliopsida; Lamiales; Lamiaceae. The transcript is spliced from 2 exons. The record is from RefSeq and is a predicted model, not a curated record.
UAGUUACAGCACUCCUAAUACGACAAUCAUUUCACCCAAAUAAUUCACGAUUCAUAAAUACAAAUUAACAACUCAGAGAAAUCUCCAAAUGCAAACAAAAAGAACAAACAAGAAAAGGCCACAAAACGAAAAUCGCUUCGCACCAUAGAAAUUAGAAGCUUCACCAUCAAUGCACACUUUGACAACGACGGCAGUUAUUUAUAAACUUGAAAACCACUGCCAUGGAUUUAAUUUCUUGUAUAACUUGAUAAAAAAUUUGGUGAUAUAUGAAGAAAUGAAUAAUGUAGACAAGGAAGUAUCGGGUUUGAAAUUCAAAAAAAUAAGAAAUAAGAUGCAGGUAGUGAUGGUGUUAACACGCCUUUUCCCCGACCUCAUAAAUGCAUAUUGAAGGCUCCAGAUUUGCUGCAGUGACCUUUUUCAUCGUUACAUAGCUUUUGAGUAAAUAUACUCUCCUUUUUGUUGUUGGGUUGUUGGCAAAUUCAAUGCCUUGUUGCUUCCAUCUCUCUCUCUCUCUCUCUUAUUUAUAUACUCUUGAAGGAUCAUACCCUCCUUCACUACACACCAAUCUUCUUCACAUCACUUAUCUUUUGCUCUCUUAAAGAGUCUCGACGUUGCAAUGUGAAGGGUUGGUAGAGUGGUAUACUAAUGAUACGAGAUAUUGGUGCGGUUCAAUUUGAAAGCCGUGCUCCAUGGGCUUAGAGCUCGGUUAUUUGAUUGAGCCGUGCCAAUAUCACGUAUAUGUACUAUGCUACUGCUUCCUAUCACUCUCCUCCCUUCCAUGCAAUCCCACUCACACCUAACUCAUGCUUAAUCUUUUCUCUGUCUUUGGCAUUUGAAAGAUGCAAAUUUAAGAGAAGAAGAAGAAGAAGAAGAAGAAUGGGUAAGACCAUCACACUGCAUUUACUGAGCACUACCUAAAGGCUUCCUACUUUAUUGACGAAGUGCCUGUGGUAGGUGCAAGAGUGCCUACUUUUUGGCAUCAUCAUUAAUGCCAUUUCUAAGGAGCAAACAACAGUUUCCAAGUUGGGUCACAUUUCAUUCUCUCUCCAAAAUUAAGCAAAUCCUGUUUAAAGUAAGUGUAACCAGCAGCUGCUGGAUGAAAUUUGUAGAUGAUUUAGACGACACUAGUUCUUGUAAUUGAAGAAUGCAACUGAUACA